UGAACGCUUUUGGAUAGAUACCAAACAGGCUUUUCUGUUUUCGUCUAGUAAACUAGGUUAUUUUUAAUGAAAUGUACAGGCAAACACCAAGGUCCAAGUAGAACAACAUAUACUUGAAAGAAUAUUUGCAAACAACUUCUACAGAUCCCAAAUGAAUCCACCUGCAGUCAGCGUAGGAAAAGUGAGGAGGUAUCGACAUCUUCAGUCCCGAACAUCCAAACACAAAAUCAAAGAGCAAUACAAGGGCACGUAAAAUAGAAAUUUCAAAUGCAAACGGAAACGGAAACCCAGCAGAUGCAUAUGAAAGUACUUCUAUUCAGUACGAAAAUCCAAAACCAAAAUUAAACUCUUCCCUGUUCAGUGCAGGAUGAGAUCACAAGCAUCAUUCAGAAUUCAGAAACCCCCCACGGAGGCGAAGGACAAGGUGAAGGGUAGACUCCUUUUGGAUGUUGUAAUCCGCAAGAGUCCUUCCUUCCUCCAGCUGCUUACUGGCAAAGACGAUGAGUCUCUGCUGGUCCGGAGGAAUGCCCUCCUUGUCCUGGAUCUUUGCUUUCACAUUAUCAAUGGUAUCGGAACUCUCUACCUCCAACGUUAUCAUCUUCCCAGUCAAUUGCAAGUAAACAAAUUACUUAUAUUACACUCACAAAAUAUUACAACUUAACAACAACUCUCAAGAACACAACUUAGAAGCUAUGACACUCUUUCUGUAGACACACUCUAGACCACUCACACUCUUCACAAGACCACCCUCACUUCUAAGUUAUUUUCUUGCUUCUCUUCUUGGCUACUUGGUUGUAUUACAACACUCAUGGCCAUGAUCAUGCACACACCCUUCCACCGACUUAAGAAACAACCUUCCAGUCCUUUCUUUCUACAAAGGACUACUUAGCUUAGAUAAUUCUAUAUUUCAUGUUUCUUCACGGAUCACCUUCCAUGCAUAUUUGAACUAGAAAAAUCUAAUUUAAUUGUAUCACAAUUUUCAACUUCCAGAGUGAUGGUCUUCCCGGUCAAGGUCUUCACGAAGAUUUGCAUACCACCACGCAGUCGAAGCACCAAGUGGAGAGUCGAUUCCUUUUGAAUGUUAUAAUCGGCAAGCGUGAGACCAUCCCCAAGCUCAAGCUGCUUACAAGCGAAGAUGAGCCUCUGCUGGUCUGGGGAAAUACCCUCCUUGUCCUGGAUCUUUGCCUUCACAUUAUCAAUGGUAUCCGAGCUUUCAACUUCCAAGGUGAUGGUCUUUCCUGUAAGCAUCUUGACAAAGAUUUGCAUGCCACCACGGAGACGAAGCACCAGGUGGAGAGUGGACUCCUUCUGGAUGUUGUAGUCAGCGAGUGUGCGGCCGUCUUCAAGCUGCUUGCCAGCAAAGAUGAGCCUCUGUUGGUCUGGGGGAAUGCCUUCCUUGUCUUGAAUCUUGGCUUUGACAUUAUCAAUUGUGUCAGAGCUUUCAACCUCGAGGGUGAUGGUCUUGCCUGUGAGGGUUUUCACAAAGAUCUGCAUCUGUUCACAUAAAACAUCCGUAGGGAAUGCUUCAGAAGUUGAAGAUUCUCAAAUCACAUCAGCUUUAGCUUCUUAAUAUAAAUUAUUUAAGACGGAUUGAAGAUUCUAAAGAGCUUCGUUCAACUUUGAUACUAGUAUACUAACAAUUUGAUCCACUACUAAACAACUGAGUGAAAACACAGAGACAUAAAAGCAAUCAAAAAUACAAACCAAAACCAAAAAUACCAUCCGAGAUAUUUCUACAUCUAAAUCAACACAAAAUCCAGGUGGUUGUAGAGUCAGAACAGAUUAGCCUUAAAUUUUAACAAAAUCUCAGACAUCCAAGGAAGGAUAAAGCAGCACUAGCUCUCAAGCCCGGCGAAAGGCGAAAGCUCUUAGGCGGCCACUGCGAAUUUUCUUGAGAAACAAGCCUUGGAUUUCGCCAUCAUCGAUAAUAUAUAUAUGAAAAAACACAAUUUAAUUCAAGAUAACAGAAUACGAACCUUGGAAGCGAAAUCGAGAGAGAAGUUUGAAGAGGUUGAAGGAAUUGGCGUGCGUCUGAUUUUUCUCUGAAUUCUGAACGAUGGAGAGGUUGAGGACCGGGGCAGUCGUGUUUUUAUAGAGCGAUUACCGACUGAGAUUCCCAGAGUGUUUCAAGGGAUUAAUAAUUUCAGGGUAUUCAGCUAGAAAUUUAAAAGAUUUUAUAAAAGUUUAAGUGUGUUUAAUUGAGAAUUAUCAAUACUUUUUAAAAGUCUCAAGAAAUUAGGGAAUCCUUUGAGGACUAAUCGAAUGGAACACCGCCACGUGUUGGGAUAAUUCUUGCACGCCAAGAUUAGUCAAAUAGUAUCCCUUUACUUGGCAAAAGUAAUUAACAAACAAAAUAAUUUACGUAAAAAGCAAUAAAAAUAUUUUUUUUUUACUUUUUCCUACUUUUGCAUUUUGAGAUUUGUUUUUAUUUUGUUGUAAAUAUGGUGGAUGUCCACUCAAAGGAAUCAAGUCAUGGUUGUCAAUGAAACUGUUUUCAGUGCUUGACAGCCAUUGGUCACCAUGACUAUCCAACUAGUUGGUAUUUGCCUAUAAAGUGGAUUGUUGAAGAUGAGAGCAAAUGUGCACACAAAAACUCAAGCCACACGGCUGAGAAGAGAGAAAAGAUAGAAGGAAGAAGAGAGGAAGAAGAGAGAAGCCACAAGGCUCACGACAGUGAGAAGAAAGAGAAAUGAGAUAAUAGAAAGAGUUAUCUUUGUAAUCUUAUUAUUUCAGAUUAUAAAUAAAAGCACCGAUGCUGCCCCGAGGACGGACAUACUCCAAUCAUAUUGACUGUAGAAGAACUUCGUGGAUUUUGUGCCUUGUUUAUUUAUUCCACUACACACCGUCGAUUUUACAACAUAUUUUUUAUUUUUGUAAUUAGCUGUUAGCAAGGAGGAAAAUUAGUGAAGAUUAAAUCCGUACCAAAGUGCAUAAACAUAAUUACUUUCCGACACUACGCAAAGCGCCAUCUCCAAGAAUUUAAUCUUUCUUUAAAUUUUAGUCGGAUAGAUUUUUUUAGUAAUACACAACGUUUUCAUCUACUAAACUACGUUAUUUUUAAUGAAAUGUACAAAGCAAACACCAAGGUCCAAGUAGAACAACAGACACUUGAAAGAAUAUUAGCAAACAGCUUCUGCAGAUCCCAAAUGAAUCCAUCUGCAGUCACGUAGGAAAAGUGAAGAGGUAUCGACAUCUUCAGUCCCGAACAUCCAAACACAAGAUCGAAGAGCAAUACAAAGGCACGUAAAAUAGAAAUUUCAAAUGCAAACGGAAACGGAAACCCAGCAGAUGCAUAUAAAACUACUUUUAUUCAUUAACUACAUAGUAUUAGGGUGACCCAUCCAUUGGUCAAAGUUGGAGUACCAAAAUCCAAAACCAAAAUUAAACUCUUCCCUGUUCAGUGCAGGAUGAGAUCACAAGCAUCAUUCAGAAUUCAGAAACCACCUCGGAGGCGAAGGACAAGGUGAAGGGUAGACUCCUUUUGGAUGUUGUAAUCCGCAAGAGUCCUUCCGUCCUCCAGCUGCUUACCGGCAAAGAUGAGUGCUGGUCCGGAGGAAUGCCCUCCUUGUCCUGGAUCUUUGCUUUCAC
This 3588-nucleotide long non-coding RNA is filed under the name Malus domestica (apple). RNAcentral describes it as "long non-coding RNA (MDOM_LNC010805)". The record is from RNAcentral. Lineage: Eukaryota; Viridiplantae; Streptophyta; Magnoliopsida; Rosales; Rosaceae.